UGAGAGAACUCAGGAGAAGGAACUCGGCAAAUUGAUACCGUAACUUCGGGAGAAGGUAUGCCGCAAGUAGGUGAACUUGUACAAAGGGAGCCCAAAGCGGUUGCAAAAAAUCGGUGGCUGCGACUGUUUAUUAAAAACACAGCACUCUGCAAACACGAAAGUGGACGUAUAGGGUGUGACGCCUGCCCGGUGCUGGAAGAUUAAAUGAUGGGGUGCAAGCUCUUGAUUGAAGUCCCAGUAAACGGCGGCCGUAACUAUAACGGUCCUAAGGUAGCGAAAUUCCUUGUCGGGUAAGUUCCGACCUGCACGAAUGGCGUAACGAUGGCCACACUGUCUCCUCCUGAGACUCAGCGAAGUUGAAAUGUUUGUGAUGAUGCAAUCUCCCCGCGGAAAGACGGAAAGACCCCAUGAACCUUUACUGUAGCUUUGUAUUGGACUUUGAACAGAUCUGUGUAGGAUAGGUGGGAGGCUUUGAAGCAGGGUCGCUAGAUCUUGUGGAGCCAACGUUGAAAUACCACCCUGGUGUGUUUGAGGUUCUAACCUAGGUCCAUUAUCUGGAUCGGGGACAGUGCAUGGUAGGCAGUUUGACUGGGGCGGUCACCUCCCAAAGCGUAACGGAGGAGUUCGAAGGUACGCUAGUUACGGUCGGACAUCGUGACGAUAGUGCAAUGGCAUAAGCGUGCUUAACUGCGAGACUGACAAGUCGAGCAGAUGCGAAAGCAGGACAUAGUGAUCCGGUGGUUCUGUAUGGAAGGGCCAUCGCUCAACGGAUAAAAGGUACUCUGGGGAUAACAGGCUGAUACCGCCCAAGAGUUCAUAUCGACGGCGGUGUUAGGCACCUCGAUGUCGGCUCAUCUCAUCCUGGGGCUGUAGCCGGUCCCAAGGGUAUGGCUGUUCGCCAUUUAAAGAGGUACGUGAGCUGGGUUUAAAACGUCGUGAGACAGUUUGGUCCCUAUCUUCCGUGGGCGCUGCAGAUUUGAGGAAGCCUGCUCCUAGUACGAGAGGACCGGAGUGGACACACCUCUGGUGUAUCGGUUGUCACGCCAGUGGCAUUGCCGAGUAGCUAAGUGUGGAAGAGAUAAACGCUGAAAGCAUCUAAGCGUGAAACUCGUUUCAAGAUGAGAUCUGCCGGGGCCUUGAGCCCCCUAAAGAGUCGUUCAAGACCAGGACGUUGAUAGGUCGGGUGUGGAAGCGCAGUAAUGCGUUAAGCUAACCGAUACUAAUUGCUCGUGCGGCUUGACCCU
This 1244-nucleotide ribosomal RNA is filed under the name metagenome. RNAcentral's name for it is "bacterial LSU rRNA". It matches the Rfam family "Bacterial large subunit ribosomal RNA", at positions 1691 to 2925 of the family's 2925-position model. The record is from RNAcentral.